Molecule: ribosomal RNA, 228 nt
Filed under: Stenotrophomonas maltophilia
Lineage: Bacteria; Pseudomonadati; Pseudomonadota; Gammaproteobacteria; Lysobacterales; Lysobacteraceae
Description: partial 16S ribosomal RNA
Rfam family: Bacterial small subunit ribosomal RNA
Source: RNAcentral
UAAGUGAAGAGUUUGAUCCUGGCUCAGAGUGAACGCUGGCGGUAGGCCUAACACAUGCAAGUCGAACGGCAGCACAGGAGAGCUUGCUCUCUGGGUGGCGAGUGGCGGACGGGUGAGGAAUACAUCGGAAUCUACUCUGUCGUGGGGGAUAACGUAGGGAAACUUACGCUAAUACCGCAUACGACCUACGGGUGAAAGCAGGGGACCUUCGGGCCUUGCGCGAUUGAA